Molecule: ribosomal RNA, 467 nt
Filed under: uncultured bacterium
Lineage: Bacteria
Description: partial 16S ribosomal RNA
Rfam family: Bacterial small subunit ribosomal RNA
Source: RNAcentral
GAUGAACGCUGGCGGCGUGCUUAACACAUGCAAGUCGAACGGAAAGGCCCAAGCUUGCUUGGGUACUCGAGUGGCGAACGGGUGAGUAACACGUGGGUGAUCUGCCCUGCACUUCGGGAUAAGCCUGGGAAACUGGGUCUAAUACCGGAUAGGACCACAUUUUGGAUGGUGUGGUGGAAAGUUUUUCGGUGUGGGAUGAGCUCGCGGCCUAUCAGCUUGUUGGUGGGGUAAUGGCCUACCAAGGCGUCGACGGGUAGCCGGCCUGAGAGGGUGUACGGCCACAUUGGGACUGAGAUACGGCCCAGACUCCUACGGGAGGCAGCAGUGGGGAAUAUUGCACAAUGGGCGCAAGCCUGAUGCAGCGACGCCGCGUGGGGGAUGACGGCCUUCGGGUUGUAAACUCCUUUCGCUAGGGAAGAAGCGUUUUUGUGACGGUACCUGGAGAAGAAGCACCGGCUAACUACGUG